Long non-coding RNA from Corticium candelabrum, 365 nucleotides. RefSeq lists it as uncharacterized. NCBI's taxonomy places the organism in Eukaryota, Metazoa, Porifera, Homoscleromorpha, Homosclerophorida, Plakinidae. The transcript has 3 exons. The record is from RefSeq and is a predicted model, not a curated record.
UACAACUGGUAAGAAAUAUAUAAAUUCUGGAAACUACGCAGCAGGAGAGGCAUCAUACCGGCGUGUCUUGCAGCUGUAUGACUCCGCCACUGCUAGUCCAGGGCCCGCAGACAAAUCACAUGCACUUCAUCAGUUAGGGUUUUGUUUAACUCAACAAGGGCAGUGUGAGGAAGGGUUCAGAUUACUGACUGAAUCCCUAAAUAUUCAAAGAAAUCUUGUUCCAGGAAAUAAAUCAAAUCUUGCUACCACUCUUCAUGUACUUGGAGUAUGUCUGAGUAAGCAAGGGAAGCUGGAAGAUGCAUUGAGGGUUUUACAAGAAGCCCUUGGGCUGGAACGUACUUUGAACAACAAAGCGGAUAUCGCAC